AACGAACGCUGGCGGCAUGCCUAACACAUGCAAGUCGAACGACACCUUCGUGUCUAGUGGCGCACGGGCGCGUAACGCGUGGGAACCUGCCCUUAGGUUCGGAAUAACACCCCGAAAGGGGUGCUAAUACCGGAUAAUGUCUUCUGACCAAAGAUUUGUCGUCUUUGUGUGAGCGGGCGUUGGAUUAGCUAGUUGCUAGGGUAAAAGCCUACCAAGGCUACGAUCCAUAGCUGGUCUGAGAGGAUGAUCGGCGACACUGGGACUGAGACACGGCCCAGACUCUUACGGGAGGCAGCAGUGGCGAAUAUUGGACAAUGGGCGAAAGCAUGAUCCAGCAAUGCUGCGUGAGUGAUGAAGGCCUUAGAGUAGUAAAGCUCUUUUAUCCGGGAUGAUAAUGACAGUACCGGGAGAAUAAGCACCGGCUAACUCCGUG
This 433-nucleotide ribosomal RNA is filed under the name uncultured bacterium. RNAcentral describes it as "partial 16S ribosomal RNA". It matches the Rfam family "Bacterial small subunit ribosomal RNA", at positions 29 to 507 of the family's 1533-position model. The record is from RNAcentral.